AGAAAAAUUGCACAACUGUGAUGUUUGCAUCACAGUACUUUUGGACUUCAGCUUUAACAGGUUAUUCAAAUUCAUUAAAAAGAUUUCUGAAUGUCUAUAAAGACAAUCACAAUUGGAAAAUUGAUCAAUGAAGGAUCUUUGAAGAUUUUAAUCUCUACUUUCUGUGCUUUUAAGUUAUAAUAAGCAUAAAGUAAAAAAUGAACAGUUAGUGUGUUCUGCUACAGCAGGAAUAGCAAUGAAAUGGAAAAACUAAAUUUGUUAAAUGUAUCAGAUUGGACUUGCUCUCUGUUGGUACAGAGGUUUAUCACAAAAUUCAGAUGAAGCCAAUGUGGAUUAUAAUUGUUCACCUGUGAGAGCUUUCAAUGUAAGAUAAGGAUUUUAUUUCUUCCUCCUAAUGCAUUCCAUGCAGUAAUUGAUGGCAGCUGAGAUAUGGAUACAUCUCUCAAAUAGACUUCCUGUGAGGGCAUUUUUUUCUUUAAGUUACUUUUUAGGUUGCUCUGACAAACUUUGUUCAAAUCCAGUUAACAGACAGUUACAAGAUGGUGUACAAUUCAGAUGUCUAUGUUAAAACUAGUGCUGAAUUCCUGGUUACUCUUUGUUUCCAGAGUUUGUGUUGUACCAAAACCCAUUAACAGUUAUUUCAAACUCCUUUAAGGUUGGGAAAAUAUCAUAUUAUGUACACAUGACUGAUUGAAUAUUUUCAGAUAUGAGUUGCUGUAUAUAGCUAUGCUUAAAGGUAGUUGGAACCUGUUUUUUCAUGUUUUCAUAUUACAUAGGUAAUAACAGACAUAAUAAUAUUUAUUUAUUAAAUAAUAAUAAUUAUUCUUCUGGGAAUUUUUAGAUUUUCGGCUGACAAAAGUUGAAAAGUAAAAUUAGGUUUUAGAAGUGACUUAAUUCCAUUCAAAGCAAAAAUUUAAGUACAAAGGAGAUUUAAAAAUGAAAGCUACACUCGCAGUCUAUCUGAAAGUACACCUGCCUACAGUAGUGUCACCAAAGCUGUAGGUUCAAUUUGGCAAAAAAGAAAGUACAAAAAUAUGUCUGAAGUUCCUAUGAUCAUGAAGGAAGUGGAUAAAAGAAAUGUGGAACUGUUGCUUGCCAAAUCUCACAGUACUAAAAUGAGAUGGCGUUCAAUUAAGGUAGUUGGAGGUGAAUUUAAAACAGACAAGUGAAGUGCUGCCUUAUGCAGUACGCAUCGAACUCUUGGAAUUUACUCAACAUUCUGUAGUCAAGUAGUACAAGUGGGUUCCAAAAAGAAUUGUCAUAACCAAAGUAAUUACUUAAUAAGAACAGAAGCAGGCAAGUGUGUUUUUUCUAACAUUCCUCACCCAACACUUGUAGGUGCUGUGGAAGUGUGCUGGGAGAAACUGGCUGAAUGUGUGUUCUCCCUACAUAGCAUUUCCUUUUGCUACUUGAAGAGCUCUGCUAUGUGGAUCUUUUGCCUGACUUAUCAGUAUUUACAUAUAAAACCUUCAAUUUUUCUCACCAAAAUAUUUUUUUUUACUUGUGCUUGCUGGCAAUCUCAUGGGAGCUUAAAACGAAUGUGAAAUACAAAGUAAUUUCUAAAUAACUUUCAAUUUUUUUGGGGUGUGUAUUAAUUUUUGCUUUUUAUAGGCAUUUGGAACAUCAAUAUGCAGUUCUUGCCAGUGUAUACUAAUGAAAAUGUCAGAUAUUUACCAUAAAAUAAAACUAUCUCAUGACUAUUGCUUUGACUGCUUUUGAGUGCUUGCCAGAGAUUAGACUGUGGAUAUAAUUCUGUUUUAAUAACUUCAUGUUGGGUAGCCCUGCAUUCUAGUUUAUCCAGAUUUGUGCCAGAACAAAUCAAAUAUGAAAUCUCUGUCUUCUUUAUUUUGGAAUUCUGAAUGUAAUAUAGCUUAUGGAUAUUUUAAGAGAGUAUGUUCCGUGUGCUGUCAUCAACUAUAAUCUCUUCUUCCUUCUGUUCAGUGUAUCAGUGCAUGUUCCUCAGUGACAAGCAUGUUUUUUCUGGAAGAUGUUACUCCUUACAUCCCACUUAGAGGAAUACAAAACAGAGAGCUCAGAAGUGCAAUUUUUAAAAAUUUAAUAUUAUUUGAACCAUUCUUCAGAUGACCUUAAUUUUCAAUAAGUCAAUAAUGCCUUGCAGGAUAUUUGCUAUGUUACUCAUAGCCAAUGCUUGCUUGGUUUAUACUGAUAGAAACAGCAGAAUGCCAAUAUAUUCAUACAGAGGUCUGUAAGUCUCAAUAUUCACUUAUUUGGGCUAGAAACUGUCAAAGUGCUGUCAUUUCUGAAUGUUCAGGUACAGCACAGCUUUCUGUCUAUGGAUAUAUACCUGUGUAUACAAGCAUACUAAUAAAUUGGAAUAUUGAAUGUUGAAACCAAAAAGAAAUUGGUUUUAAAUGAAAAUAGUCCUGAGAGAUGUAAUAUUUUGUGUAGAAGGGAGUCCUGGUUCAUUUUUAAAAACAUUCUGUAAUAUUACCAUGAACAUUUCUUAUUUGUGUAUAAGUUUACUAGCCCAAGUAUGAAUGUCCUUUUUUUAUUUGUUUUAUUUAGUUUUAUUUAGGUUUCAGACUACCACCAUAAGAGGAAAAAUCUGAAAAGUUACAUUAAGAUUGUGUAUCAGGGUCUUGGCAGUGGGGAGGCUACAGGGCUGGCUUCUGUGAGAAGCUGCUGGAAGCUUCCCUCAAUUACAGCAGCACCAGUGCCAGCCUGGCUCCAGGAUGGACCUGCCACUGCCACUGCCUUUGUCCUGCCAACAACUGAGCCCAUCAGUGAUGGUGGUAGUGCCUCUAGGAUGACAGAUUAAAAAAGUUAAAAAAAAAAGGAAUAACAGAUUUAAGAAGGGGAAAAAACUGCUGUAAAAAGGUAGGAGAAAGGACUGAGAAUACAUGAGAGAAGCAACCACAGAUAGCAGGGUCACUGGAGAAAUUGGGAGGAAAAGGGUUCCAGGCACUGCCACAAGUUCCCAUGCAGCUCAUGGUGCAGCCCAGAGAGGUUAAUGUUGGAGCAGAGAUCCGCCUGCAGCAUCUGGAGGACCCCAUGCCAGAGCAGGUGGAUACCCAAAGGAGGCUGUGAGCUGUGGAAGCCUGUAUUGGAGCAGGCUCCUGGUAGGACCUAUGGACCCAUGGAGACAGGACCCCAUGUUGGAACGCAUUUGUUGGCAGGACUUGUUAUCCAAGGGUGACCCAUGCUAGAGCAGCCUGUGCCUGAAGGACUGCACUCCAUGGAAGAGACUCAUGGUGGAGCAGUUAGCGAAGAACUGCAACCUGUGGGAAGGACUCAUGUUGGAAAGGUUUGUGGAGGACUGUCUCUUAUGGGAUGGGCCUCAUGUUGGAGCAGGGAAAGAGAGUGAGGAGUCCUCUCCCUGAGGAAGGAGUGACAGAAAUAGUGUGUGAUGAAUUGACUGUAACCCCUACUCCCUGUCCCCCUACUCUGCUGGCACAAGAUAAGGAAAAACAGUAUUUAUGCCUGGAAAGAAAAGAGGAGUAGGGGAAAGGUGUUUUAAGGUUUGGUUUUAUUUCUAAUUACUUUGAUCUGAUUUGUAAUGAAUUAAACUAAGUUCCCUGUGUCAACUCUAUUUUGCCUGUGACAGUAACAGCUACCUGACCUCCUUUGUCCUUAUCUUGACCACAAGCCUUUUGUCAUGUUUUUCUCCCCCUCUCCAGCUGAGGAGGGGAGUGACAGAGCAACUGGAUGGGCACCUGGAAACCAGCCAGGGUCAACCACCUCAAAAGGCCAUCUGUCUUUUUAUGUCCCUGGUUGUUAAACCAAAUACUAACUAUUUAAGGAGAAGAAAAAAAACCCUUAUAAAAGGUUGUGUGGGACAUUCUAAAGAAGUGAAAACUUUUGUGGCUAUUGUAAGCAGAUAAAAUAGGAGAAAUUCAAAUCUAAAUGACUAAAGCAAAAGAAGCAGUGCUCUGCAGCGCGGUGUUCUGGCCUGCACUUAGACCGUGUGACCACGAGAUGUCAUAGCCCAGCUGCGGGUGUGGAGCUCGGCUUCACCCCACCGACUGCUUUCGUUGCCCCUGUUCGCGAGGAGCAUCACACGCCACCCUCUCCCAGUAUUGUCUUCGGAAAAGUAUUCGUUUCCUA
Molecule: non-coding RNA, 4065 nt
Organism: Cyanistes caeruleus (blue tit)
Lineage: Eukaryota; Metazoa; Chordata; Aves; Passeriformes; Paridae
Source: RefSeq, a predicted model, not a curated record